AACAGUGUGGCAUAGUGGUUUGAGUGUUGGACUACAACUCUGGAGGCCAGGGUUCAAAUCCCCACUUGGCCA
This 72-nucleotide transfer RNA is filed under the name Phrynosoma platyrhinos (Desert horned lizard). Its description in RNAcentral is "tRNA-OTHER". Lineage: Eukaryota; Metazoa; Chordata; Lepidosauria; Squamata; Phrynosomatidae. The record is from RNAcentral.